GGGGAUUUAGUUCAGUGGCAUAGCGCCUGCCUGGCAAGUACAUGGUCCUGGGUUCGAUCUCCAGUACCCCCC
This 72-nucleotide transfer RNA is filed under the name Heterocephalus glaber (naked mole-rat). It matches the Rfam family "tRNA". From Rfam's summary of the family: Transfer RNA (tRNA) molecules are approximately 80 nucleotides in length. Their secondary structure includes four short double-helical elements and three loops (D, anti-codon, and T loops). Lineage: Eukaryota; Metazoa; Chordata; Mammalia; Rodentia; Bathyergidae. The record is from Rfam by way of RNAcentral.